GAUGAACGCUAGCGGCAGGCCUAACACAUGCAAGUCGAGGGGCAGCAUAAAAUAAGCUUGCUUAUUUGGUGGCGACCGGCGCACGGGUGCGUAACGCGUAUGCAAUCUACCCUAUACUGAGGGAUAGCCCGGAGAAAUUCGGAUUAACACCUCAUAGUAAUUAGAGAUCGCAUGGUUUUUAAUUAAAGGUUACGGUAUAGGAUGAGCAUGCGUCCCAUUAGCUAGAUGGUAAGGUAACGGCUUACCAUGGCGACGAUGGGUAGGGGGCCUGAGAGGGUGACCGGCCACACUGGAACUGAGACACGGUCCAGACUCCUACGGGAGGCAGCAGUGGGGAAUAUUGCACAAUGGGCGAAAGCCUGAUGCAGCAACGCCGCGU
Molecule: ribosomal RNA, 379 nt
Filed under: uncultured bacterium
Lineage: Bacteria
Description: bacterial SSU rRNA
Rfam family: Bacterial small subunit ribosomal RNA
Source: RNAcentral